CCAAAGUGAAACGUUUGCGGCACCCACGCGACCACCAGUCUAGAUGAACUGUUUGUUGUUGCGUUUCAGUGAGUUAUGACCGGACCGCUGCCCCGUGCUACGAAACCGCCGUAUAUUAGCGGCUGAAAGCCAGCAAAUGAGAUCCGGGAAACAUUACAAUUACCAUCGCAAACAAUAUUCCGUCGUACGCAGCGAACCUAAGAAAACGGGGAGGAUCCUUGACGCUAGACCCAGUACCAGACCAACGUUACCACCAGAGAUAAAAUAAGUAAUUAAAAAUUCUUUACAGAAAUUUUGCAGGUCAGUCAGAACGAGCUUGUUAUCGUAGCCACCGGUAAGCAAGUAGUAUGCAGAAGGGGAGAAGCGUAUGCUUCUGAUAUCAGCAGCGUGAGGUUUGAAGCAUUGAACGGUCCGACCGCCCCGGAUGUCGAAGAGGACGCAGCUGCUGUCCUCGUGACCGGAUACCAGAAGACGUCCGGAUGGAUCGACGCAGAGAGCUGCUACCGGACUGCCAACCUGCAACGGGAUCAAAUGCUAAUCAGAUACGCGAUACCGAUUCCGUUCCAAAUUAUUUUCGAGUACGUCCGAUAAAAAUUCGAUCCUGAGUUGAAGAGAAAGAGCAAGAGUGAACUAGAGGAAGAAAGAAAUGCGAUUCGUGAAGGGGGAUGUAUGAUCGGUGCGAUUCAAAAACGUGGGUCGAAAUUUUAUCGGACGUCGAACGAAAAAACGAAACUUAAAAAACUGAAAAGUCGAUGUCGUCAUGCAUGCAUAUGCUGGGUUCGUUAUGAAUCAUAGAAAUCCUUUCCACAUUAUGUACGAAUUAUUUAUCGUUGAUCGAUGAUGCCUGGAUUUCUUAUGAAGUGAUAGAAUUAGUCAUAUGUAUUACUAAUACCUUUUCUAAUAACUUUUCUAAUAAAGACCGAUGACAGGAGGAAAGCGCUAAUUGAGAAAUAAAUUGACGAAUCUGAGAGUCAACUGUGAUACAAAAAUAUGAACUUGCGGAUCCACGAUAUAAAAGUCUCUGUUUUAGUUCAAUGAAGAGAAAAAUUGAAUUUAAAGAUACUUCAACUGUAAGAUUAGAGUCUGUUUAAAAUUAAAGAUAGUAAAGAUCAGUAAAUGUACAUGUAUAAGUUCACAUGUAUGUAUUAAAAAUAUAAUAUUACAUAGCGAUGUUACACAACAGAGAUACAGCAAACAGUUACUGUAAACGAUAGGGAUAAUAGAUUUCAAACAGACUGUCUUACAGAAAAUCAGCAACUUCAACAAAAUCUACUAAUACCGUUUGACAAUCAGAUUCCUC
Molecule: unclassified non-coding RNA, 1300 nt
Filed under: Bombus terrestris (buff-tailed bumblebee)
Lineage: Eukaryota; Metazoa; Arthropoda; Insecta; Hymenoptera; Apidae
Description: misc RNA ENSBTSG00005031175.1
Source: RNAcentral